CUCAGAGCCGUUCCCAAGACGCCCCGCGGCCGCGGAGCGGAAAAUGUCUUCACGCCGCUUGUGGGGCUGGCUGGGUGGGUCGCUAGAGUCUGCCGGGCCUCAGGCUUUCCAGGCGCCGGCAACCACAAAAAGAACUCAGAAAUCUGUGACCUUGAGGUCUCAGAGCCUUAGACGGCAUUGCUUCCAGUUGGGAAAAUGUAGGAAACCCAAAUGCCCAGCCCUGCGGCCCCGCUGGAGAAGUCGUCUGCGGAAGAUCACAAGGCUGUGCGGUCUGCGGAGGAAGACGCUCUGAGCAGGCGCUCCUGACCCUGGUGUCACACACUAGGAUGUAAGGUCUUGAGGGCGGUGCCUUUCCCUAAUCCAUCCUGUCUUCAUUCUGAGCAUCUAGAACAGCAUGGAUCCCAGGAAUGGCUUACGGCUGGAGGCAAAGACCCCGUGGGAACAAAGGCGCCCGCCUGCACUCCCGCCCUCCCGGCAGCUGGAGAACCGUCCACCCUGAACAGGAGGCAGAGCUGGUUUCUCACUAAGGCAUCUUUGUAGAGCUUAU
Molecule: long non-coding RNA, 547 nt
Organism: Lepus europaeus (European hare)
Lineage: Eukaryota; Metazoa; Chordata; Mammalia; Lagomorpha; Leporidae
Exons: 4
Source: RefSeq, a predicted model, not a curated record